CGGGUCGUAGCGCAGAGGUCGUCGCGCCGCUUUUCAAGAGCGGAGGACACCGGUUCGAUUCCGGUCGACCCGC
This 73-nucleotide transfer RNA is filed under the name Micromonospora auratinigra. RNAcentral's name for it is "tRNA_SeC_TCA". It matches the Rfam family "tRNA". Rfam says of the family: Transfer RNA (tRNA) molecules are approximately 80 nucleotides in length. Lineage: Bacteria; Bacillati; Actinomycetota; Actinomycetes; Micromonosporales; Micromonosporaceae. The record is from RNAcentral.